Pogona vitticeps (central bearded dragon) is the source of this 1614-nucleotide long non-coding RNA. NCBI's taxonomy places the organism in Eukaryota, Metazoa, Chordata, Lepidosauria, Squamata, Agamidae. The record is from Ensembl.
UUAUUUAUUGCCUGAAUAGGGCUAUUAACCAGCCAGGUCUCUGUGGCAAGCUUUCAAGCAGAAUGAAGUUCCCAGCUUCUCUUGUUUCCUUUCCUCCUUGGGUGACUGGAAGCAUAUUUUCUCCAAACAUCAAACUGAAAUGAGGCUAUCCUGGCUAAUAGCUAUGAAGAAAGUUAGACUUUCUGAUUGUAUCACAUUCAGCUGCCCCCAACCUGGUACCUUCUAGAGGGGUUGGAUUACAGUGCCUAUGACCCUCCAGGUUGCUGGCAUCAGGAUAAUGGAAGUUGUAGAUCAAACACAUCUUGUGGUCACCGAAGAGCGGAAGAUCUGGUCUAGUUCUUUCUAAAGCAAGGAAGAAAAGAAGGAAUCAGGCAGAAGUUCUCACUGCCUGGAACCUCUUGUAGCUUGUUCAGGCAGAUGGCUUUCCUGCAUGCCAAAAGAUGGAACUCCCUUGUCUCCAGUCUGUACAGUUUGCUGCAAGCCAGACGGGAACGGAGAGGAACGCUUUCUGCUUGCCAAUGAGUAAUGCUGUGUUCAAAAUAAACAACCGGAGAGGGGAUUGUUGUGACUUCCUGAAAGAUUUGCUGGGCCUCACUUUUUUUGUUCUGUCUUAAUGGGAAACCCUUGGCAGAAGCUCCCUCUUGUGAAACCAAUGGGCCGGCGUGCCGCAAAACCUCUCCAGCUGGAAAGAAAGGAUUGGAAGUUUACAAAAGCCCCUUUGACUCGCCCGUAUUGUCUCUGAUGAACUUUCCAGCCGGACCGCGUCUCCGUUCCUUGCACGGCAUCUCAUGCUGGGAACUUGGCUGGCCUUGCCGGCCAAGGGUUAACACCAACCUGGUUUUAACUGAAGGAUGCUGCCUAUGUUGAGGUAGGGUUGAGCUUUCCAACAGAUUGCCACACUCUUUUCUCCCUUCGCACCAAGGAGGUUAAUUGAAGGAAAGUGACUGUACAUUGGACCCAAGAGUCUCCUGCUGAGGUACUUGGCACAUAUAAAUCAGAUUUAAUUCCCCCCUUCCUUCUCCUGAUGAAUAACAAGACCCGAUAGGCUGCUAUUCUGGAGAGUGGCGCAAAUUACAGGUAUAAAUUUCACACUGAUCACAAGGUUCUCAGAAUUUAAUUAACUCUCUGCUCACUAAAGGGAAUUGUGACAAGUCUCUUCAGUUAUAACUUCACGGCUCCCAUCAUGCCUGUGUGGAGAAGUGUGGAUGAAUGAAAUUUGGGAUCAACCUCAGGCCUAGAGGAAGGCGGCUUAGGGCAGAGGUCUACUGCUCAGUCUAAGCCAGUGGUUCCCAACCUUGGGAUUCCAGAGGUUCUUGACUGCAACUCCCAGAAAUCCUGGCCAGCACAGCUAGCAGUGAAGCCUUCCGGGAGUUUUAGUCCAGGAACAUCUGGGGAUCCAAGGCUGGGAAGCCACUGAAAGGUGGCCUCGGAUGCUGACUAGCCCAGAGUUUCAGAAUUGCCACUUGUUCAUCUAUUUAUUAUGUUUAUAUCCUGCCUUUCAACUUUAAAGUAGCACUCAAGGCAGCUUACACUCUUUGUUAAAGAAUCAAAACAAGUAAAACCAAACGGAGCCACAUGAAAAUCAAAAUGAUCAAAAUCAACCAGUGCGGAGAU